UGGGGAAUAUUGCACAAUGGGCGCAAGCCUGAUGCAGCCAUGCCGCGUGUGUGAAGAAGGCCUUCGGGUUGUAAAGCACUUUCAGCGAGGAGGAAGGUGGUGAGCUUAAUACGCUCAUCAAUUGACGUUACUCGCAGAAGAAGCACCGGCUAACUCCGUGCCAGCAGCCGCGGUAAUACGGAGGGUGCAAGCGUUAAUCGGAAUUACUGGGCGUAAAGCGCACGCAGGCGGUUUGUUAAGUCAGAUGUGAAAUCCCCGGGCUCAACCUGGGAACUGCAUUUGAAACUGGCAAGCUAGAGUCUCGUAGAGGGGGGUAGAAUUCCAGGUGUAGCGGUGAAAUGCGUAGAGAUCUGGAGGAAUACCGGUGGCGAAGGCGGCCCCCCUGGACGAAGACUGACGCUCAGGUGCGAAAAGCGUGGGGCAGCAAACAGGAUUAGAUACCCUGGUAGUCCAGCGCUGUAAAACGAUGUCGAUUUGGAGGUUGUGCCCUUGAGGCGUGGCUUCCGGAGCUAACGCGUUAAAUCGACCGCCUGGGGAGUACGGCCGCAAGGUUAAAAACUCAAAUG
RNAcentral lists this ribosomal RNA (566 nucleotides) under uncultured bacterium. RNAcentral describes it as "partial 16S ribosomal RNA". It matches the Rfam family "Bacterial small subunit ribosomal RNA", at positions 355 to 907 of the family's 1533-position model. The record is from RNAcentral.